AGAGUUUGAUCCUGGCUCAGAUUGAACGCUGGCGGCAUGCUUUACACAUGCAAGUCGAACGGCAGCACGGGGGCAACCCUGGUGGCGAGUGGCGAACGGGUGAGUAACACAUCGGAACAUAUCUUAAAGUGGGGAAUAACGCAUCGAGAGGUGUGCUAAUACUCCAUAUACUCUAGCGAGGAAAGCGGGGGAUCGAAAGACCUCGUGCUUUAAGAGUGGCCGAUGUCUGAUUAGCUAGUUGGUAAGGUAAAAGCUUACCAAGGCGACGAUCAGUAGCUGGUCUGAGAGGACGAUCAGCCACACUGGGACUGAGACACGGCCCAGACUCCUACGGGAGGCAGCAGUGGGGAAUUUUGGACAAUGGGCGAAAGCCUGAUCCAGCCAUGCCGCGUGAGUGAAGAAGGCCUUCGGGUUGUAAAGCUCUUUCGGUCGAGAAGAAAUGUCUAUGACUAAUACUUAUAGAAAAUGACGGUAUCGACAUAAGAAGCACCGGCUAACUACGUGCCAGCAGCCGCGGUAAUACGUAGGGUGCAAGCGUUAAUCGGAAUUAUUGGGCGUAAAGGGUGCGCAGGCUGUGUUGUAAGUCAGAUGUGAAAUCCCCGGGC
This 605-nucleotide ribosomal RNA is filed under the name uncultured bacterium. RNAcentral describes it as "bacterial SSU rRNA". It matches the Rfam family "Bacterial small subunit ribosomal RNA", at positions 8 to 608 of the family's 1533-position model. The record is from RNAcentral.